AUGUCAACAAAUAACUCGACGCCUAACUUAUGUAUAAUAUGUCUUAAUAUUGAUAACUUUUUAAUUGGCAUGAAUACCAAACACAAGAUUUCCAAUUAAAAUAUUUGAACUAGUUUAUAAAGAAAUUCCAUUAAAGAUUAGCGGCCUGAAGCAGUGUGACCAGAUCGUUUUUCUCCUCUUGCGGUCAGGACGAGGCGGGCGCGGUUUGUUGGGAAAGCUCCGCCUUGACGCGCCGCGCUAUGUGCGAACGCGUGUGCUUACGAAGGUGAUCCUUCCGGUAGAAACCUUUCGAGAUAAUCGAUCAACUUUAUUCUCUAAUUAUAUGUAGAUUAGCUAAGAACGUACAAGAUUUAUAAUCUACAAAGAGAAUGUUAAUUCCUUCCAUAGGACAAGAGUAAAAGUCACAACUGCUAUCACUAUAGGUACAAGCGGUAAAAAAUGCAGGAUGGAACACUUUUUUCCUUUUUCCCUACCUAUGCUAAUAGCCUUGAGAGGGUAUUUCAGCUUCUCCUUGACGUGUAGGUGAGCUCACGGAGCUCUAACCGAGAGUGUUGCUAACACUGGCCCUAGCAACAGCAGUGCUUCGCAGAAUCUACCACCGGAUCGGAAACGCGACCCACUGAAAAGAUCUGGCGAGAAUCUCAGUGGGCUGUGUCUAUGGGUUAAUUCACUCUUCGAGCCCUUAAUAUUGAGUGUACUAUCUAAGGUCAGGAUUUUUUACUUGUGGUCAGGAUGCCUAUGAUGAAUCAUUUUCAUCAUUAGCGCCGUUUAGGCUUCCAGUAAAGCAUCCCCACAUUUUCUACAGAAGAGAUUUCCUAACCACAGAUUACUCUUAGUGACUCCGUUUUUUUUUUUACUUCUGAAACACUGACCUUUUCCACAUUCGUUACAGAUGUGUCUCUUUUCUCCGGAAUGUAUAACAAAGUGCAGUGUGAGCUGUUCCUUUCUUUUGAAGGCUUUGAGACAAACGGAGCAGACGUGAGGUCGCUCCGGGUUAUGGGAUUGUUUAUGUCUCGUUAAAUGAUCUUUCCGUUUCAAUGCCGCAUUACAAAUGUCACAAAUAAACCUGUAGAAAUGAAUAAACGAUUUGCGUUAUAUAAAGCAAUGCAAAA
This is a long non-coding RNA of Bombyx mori (domestic silkworm), 1112 nucleotides long. RefSeq lists it as uncharacterized. NCBI's taxonomy places the organism in Eukaryota, Metazoa, Arthropoda, Insecta, Lepidoptera, Bombycidae. The transcript is spliced from 2 exons. The record is from RefSeq and is a predicted model, not a curated record.